GGAGAGAUGGCCGAGAGGCCGAAGGCGCUUCCCUGCUAAGGAAGUAUACUGGUAACGGUAUCGGCGGUUCGAAUCCGCCUCUCUCCG
This 87-nucleotide transfer RNA is filed under the name Spirochaetia bacterium. RNAcentral's name for it is "tRNA-Ser". It matches the Rfam family "tRNA". From Rfam's summary of the family: Transfer RNA (tRNA) molecules are approximately 80 nucleotides in length. Lineage: Bacteria; Pseudomonadati; Spirochaetota; Spirochaetia. The record is from RNAcentral. RNAcentral also lists the same sequence under 1 other name.